RNAcentral lists this ribosomal RNA (256 nucleotides) under uncultured Staphylococcus sp. RNAcentral describes it as "partial 16S ribosomal RNA". It matches the Rfam family "Bacterial small subunit ribosomal RNA", at positions 524 to 779 of the family's 1533-position model. The record is from RNAcentral. Lineage: Bacteria; Bacillati; Bacillota; Bacilli; Caryophanales; Staphylococcaceae.
UACGUAGGUGGCAAGCGUUAUCCGGAAUUAUUGGGCGUAAAGCGCGCGUAGGCGGUUUUUUAAGUCUGAUGUGAAAGCCCACGGCUCAACCGUGGAGGGUCAUUGGAAACUGGAAAACUUGAGUGCAGAAGAGGAAAGUGGAAUUCCAUGUGUAGCGGUGAAAUGCGCAGAGAUAUGGAGGAACACCAGUGGCGAAGGCGACUUUCUGGUCUGUAACUGACGCUGAUGUGCGAAAGCGUGGGGAUCAAACAGGAUU